This 253-nucleotide ribosomal RNA is filed under the name uncultured bacterium. Its description in RNAcentral is "partial 16S ribosomal RNA". It matches the Rfam family "Bacterial small subunit ribosomal RNA", at positions 524 to 776 of the family's 1533-position model. The record is from RNAcentral.
UACGGGGGGGACAAGCGUUGUUCGGAAUUACUGGGCGUAAAGGGCUCGUAGGCGGCCAACUAAGUCAGACGUGAAAUCCCUCGGCUUAACCGGGGAACUGCAUCUGAUACUGGAUGGCUUGAGAUUGGGAGAGGGAUGCGGAAUUCCAGGUGUAGCGGUGAAAUGCGUAGAUAUCUGGAGGAACACCGGUGGCGAAGGCGGCAUCCUGGACCAACACUGACGCUGAGGAGCGAAAGCCAGGGGAGCAAACAGG